This 468-nucleotide ribosomal RNA is filed under the name uncultured bacterium. RNAcentral's name for it is "partial 16S ribosomal RNA". It matches the Rfam family "Bacterial small subunit ribosomal RNA", at positions 28 to 507 of the family's 1533-position model. The record is from RNAcentral.
GACGAGCGCUGGCGGCGUGCUUAACACAUGCAAGUCGAACGGAAAGGCCCUGCUUUUGUGGGGUGCUCGAGUGGCGAACGGGUGAGUAACACGUGAGUAACCUGCCCUUGACUUUGGGAUAACUUCAGGAAACUGGGGCUAAUACCGGAUAGGAGCUCCUGCUGCAUGGUGGGGGUUGGAAAGUUUCGGCGGUUGGGGAUGGACUCGCGGCUUAUCAGCUUGUUGGUGGGGUAGUGGCUUACCAAGGCUUUGACGGGUAGCCGGCCUGAGAGGGUGACCGGCCACAUUGGGACUGAGAUACGGCCCAGACUCCUACGGGAGGCAGCGGUGGGGAAUAGUGCACAAUGGGCGGAAGCCUGAUGCGGCAACGCCGCGUGCGGGAUGACGGCCUGCGGGUUGUAAACCGCUUUCGCCUGUGACGAAGCGUGAGUGACGGUAAUGGGUAAAGAAGCACCGGCUAACUACGUG